UGCCAUCCGCCGCGGUAAUACGGAGGGUGCAAGCGUUGCUCGGAAUUAUUGGGCGUAAAGGGUGUGUAGACGGUAUACUAAGCUUGCUGUUAAAUCCUCCGGCUUAACCGGAGAAAAGCAGUGGGAACUGGUAAACUAGAGGGUGGAAGAGAGAAGUGGAAUUCCCGGAGUAGCGGUAAAAUGCGUAGAUCUCGGGAGGAACACCGAUGGCGAAGGCAGCUUCUUGGUCCAUCCCUGACGUUGAGACACGAAAGCGUGGGGAGCAAACAGGAUUAGAUA
This 279-nucleotide ribosomal RNA is filed under the name uncultured bacterium. RNAcentral describes it as "partial 16S ribosomal RNA". It matches the Rfam family "Bacterial small subunit ribosomal RNA", at positions 506 to 784 of the family's 1533-position model. The record is from RNAcentral.